Molecule: non-coding RNA, 115 nt
Organism: Callithrix jacchus (white-tufted-ear marmoset)
Lineage: Eukaryota; Metazoa; Chordata; Mammalia; Primates; Cebidae
Source: Rfam
UAUUUACCUAUGUUUAGCUACCUGCUCUGUGUUAGGCAUGAAGCUGAGAGGCACUUUGACUCUCGCUAUUUAAGUACAUUUUGACCUCUAAGAGACUUAUUGUAAUUUACCUCAG